This 253-nucleotide ribosomal RNA is filed under the name uncultured bacterium. Its description in RNAcentral is "partial 16S ribosomal RNA". It matches the Rfam family "Bacterial small subunit ribosomal RNA", at positions 524 to 776 of the family's 1533-position model. The record is from RNAcentral.
UACAGAGGGGGCAAGCGUUGUCCGGAGUUACUGGGCGUAAAGGGCCCGCAGGUGGCACGGCAAGUGCCGGGUGAAAGCCCCGUGCUUAACACGGGGAGGCCCCGGCAGACGGUCGCGCUCGAGGGUGGCAGAGGGGGGUGGAAUUGCUGGUGUAGUGGUGAAAUGCGUAGAGAUCAGCAGGAACACCAAGGGCGAAGGCAGCAAACUGGGCAUCAACUGACGCUGAGGCGCGAAAGCGUGGGUAGCAAACAGG